RNAcentral lists this ribosomal RNA (459 nucleotides) under uncultured Moraxella sp. RNAcentral describes it as "bacterial SSU rRNA". It matches the Rfam family "Bacterial small subunit ribosomal RNA", at positions 341 to 792 of the family's 1533-position model. The record is from RNAcentral. Lineage: Bacteria; Pseudomonadati; Pseudomonadota; Gammaproteobacteria; Moraxellales; Moraxellaceae.
ACGGGAGGCAGCAGUGGGGAAUAUUGGACAAUGGGCGAAAGCCUGAUCCAGCCAUGCCGCGUGUGUGAAGAAGGCCUUUUGGUUGUAAAGCACUUUAAGUAGGGAGGAAAAGCUAAUGGUUAAUACCCAUUAGCCCUGACGUUACCUACAGAAUAAGCACCGGCUAACUCUGUGCCAGCAGCCGCGGUAAUACAGAGGGUGCAAGCGUUAAUCGGAAUUACUGGGCGUAAAGCGCGCGUAGGUGGUUACUUAAGUCAGAUGUGAAAGCCCCGGGCUUAACCUGGGAACUGCAUCUGAUACUGGGUGACUAGAGUAGGUGAGAGGGGAGUAGAAUUCCAGGUGUAGCGGUGAAAUGCGUAGAGAUCUGGAGGAAUACCGAUGGCGAAGGCAGCUCCCUGGCAUCAUACUGACACUGAGGUGCGAAAGCGUGGGUAGCAAACAGGAUUAGAUACCCUGGUA